UGACAACAUAAUUCAGAAGCCUUGAAA
This 27-nucleotide non-coding RNA is filed under the name Rattus norvegicus (Norway rat). The record is from RNAcentral. Lineage: Eukaryota; Metazoa; Chordata; Mammalia; Rodentia; Muridae.